AUGGUAAGUCAAUACAAAGACAGCAUCUUCCUGGAAUUUGGUUUUGAGCUUGUUUUCAUUUCACCUUUCUCAGUAAUCUGGGUGUAGCUUAUUUUGACUCUUCCUUUGAUUAAACAAUUCAGACCCUUGGCUCUUAUUGUUCUUGCUGGUGUGGUAUGUUCACGGCUGAAAAGAUGGUCAGAAGGGGAAAGGAGGAAGUGAGAAGAAAGAAACAGGGAAAUGACAGAGUGUUGCUCAGUUACCCAGGCUGGAGUGCAAUGGCAUGAUCUUGGCUCACUGCAGCCUCCACCUCCUGGGUUCAAGCGGUUCUCGUGCCUCAGUCUCCCAAGUAGCUGGGAUUACAGGCUGGAGUGCGAUGGCAUGAUCUUGGCUCACGGCAAACUCCGCCUCCCUGGUUCAAGUGAUUCUCCUGCCUCAGCCUCCCGAGUAGCCGGGAUUACAGGCAUGUGCCACCAUGCCCCGUUGGCCAGGCUGGUCUCGAACACCUUACCUCAGGUGAUCCUCCCACCUUUGGGAUUACAGCAGGCUGAGGAAUUACCAAGGAGGCAGGAGGUGGAGCAAAACACACCAAGCCUGGUGCCAAUCAUUGACAAUAUUAUGACCCUGCAUGUGAUGGAUCAGCUGACACCAUCCAGAUCGGUAAACUGGUUCAUCUGAUCUUGUGCCCUCCACCCAGGAACUGACUCAGCGCAAGAAGACAGCUUCGACUCCUUGUGAUUUCAUCCCUAACCAAUCAGCACUCCUGGCUCACUGGCUUCCCCCAACCCACCAAAUUGUCCUUAAAAACUCUGCUCUCCAAACGCUGGGGGAGACUGAUUUGAGUAAUAAUAAAACCCUGGUCUCCUGCA
Molecule: long non-coding RNA, 848 nt
Organism: Homo sapiens (human)
Lineage: Eukaryota; Metazoa; Chordata; Mammalia; Primates; Hominidae
Gene: PCED1B-AS1
Product: PCED1B antisense RNA 1
Source: Ensembl